Molecule: long non-coding RNA, 276 nt
Filed under: Ananas comosus (pineapple)
Lineage: Eukaryota; Viridiplantae; Streptophyta; Magnoliopsida; Poales; Bromeliaceae
Description: long non-coding RNA (ACOM_LNC029053)
Source: RNAcentral
AAGGUCAUAAGACGUGUGUAAAUUUUAUGGUCUUCAGAUGGGAAAGUUGUGAGAUUACAAUUAAAAUGUGUUGUGAAGGAAAUAUUCCUCUAUAUGUUUGUGCGUGCGUAAGUUACUAUACAUUUUCAUAAGUACGAAAACCUUCGUAUUUAUAGGUCAUUUUUAAUAAUAUAACUUUCGAAUCGAAUAUUUAUACUAUUAAAUAUGAUUUAGAGAAUUUAAAUUUAAAGUAUCUAAAAAUUAAAUUUUAUAUUUUUUUUGAAUUUAUACUGAAGU